CUAGUCUUUGAACCUCACAGUAGCAUCCCACAGUUAGUACAAACAGUGGUGUAGCUCUGUCUAAUGCACCAGCAGUCCCUUUGAUUGAAGAGUUUUUUCCCCUUGGUAAUUCAUCUCAAUUAACAGAAAAAUGGUACUCGCUUGACAGAACUUUGAAUUCUAGUUCUAUACAAAUUCUACAAAAGAAUGUCCCGUUUCCCAGUCCAAGAAAGAUGCCUAUUCUUCGACUAAUCAUGUUACAAAAAGAGAGCCUGAAUGUCUCCUCUGGAUGCUGUGGGCAAGUGUGUGUGGUCUGUGAGGGAAGUGUUAUCAAGAGCUGGUAAACAUCGUCUUGGCAGACCCCACACAGGAGAGAGCCAGGAAUGAUUAAAUGAGAGAACAGCAUAUGCGACAUGAUUUGCACAGUUGAGUCACUUUCCACAGGCUCCCAGGGCUCCAGAAAAAUCCGACAGCCAUUCUCAAAUUAGCCAUCUGCCUCUGUUUUCUGUUACUUCUUCCAGUAAAGAGCCAGGGGGAGGGAGGGAGAGAUAGUAAUAUCAUAUGAAUGUUUGCCUAGAAGCCUGAGCAUGUGUCACCAUAGUGUAGUCCAUCAAAGAACUUGAACAAGCUGGCAAUGACCCGAUUGUGAAGGGUUCAGUCUUAAAUUACACUUGGGUCUAAUACCAGCUUAUGAGGUAGUAGCCUGUUGUCUAUAAAGCCAGUUAUCUAACAUGGCUAAUCUUCAGUUUCCUUAUCAGUAAAUGGAGAUGAUGAGUGAUGGUGUCAUAGAGGGGAGAUGGGUGUGUGUGAGAUUCAGUAUCUGUUCCAUAGGGUCACUCUGAGGGUGAGGCAUGAUGACAUUUGGAAGUACUCUUACAGGCUGACAUAUACUCAUUAGUAGAUAGUAGCUGUUUGGGGCAGUAAUGCUAGAAUAGUAGAGAUAACUGAGGUAGGUUUAGUUUAGAGAGAGAUGUUUCUUUUUUUGUUGUUUUGUUCUUUGUGUGUAAUGGAUAUUUGAAAAGUAUAUUAGUUUUAAACUUUUUUUUUUUUUUUUGUAAACUGUAUUCCUACCUUUUUAUGUACUUACUACUGAAUAUUCUAAGUGGCACUCAAAGCUAUUUAAUAGGGAGGUACAUUUCUGAGAGUGAUUAUUGUAUAAAAGAUGAGUGGUUUCUAGUAUCUUCUUGAUCUGCUCUGGGCCUUUCAAAAUAUAGUUUUAAGGGGGCUGGGAAUACAGCUCAGUGGUAAAGCACUUGCUUAAUAUAGGCAAGGACCUAGAUUCAAUUCCCAACCCUGUGAAAAAAAUUCAAUGCAGCAUUGUAUGUUUAUACGUGCCAUUACUUAUCUUUAUUUUAUUUUUA
RNAcentral lists this long non-coding RNA (1340 nucleotides) under Marmota monax (woodchuck). The record is from RNAcentral. Lineage: Eukaryota; Metazoa; Chordata; Mammalia; Rodentia; Sciuridae.